This 253-nucleotide ribosomal RNA is filed under the name uncultured bacterium. RNAcentral's name for it is "partial 16S ribosomal RNA". It matches the Rfam family "Bacterial small subunit ribosomal RNA", at positions 524 to 776 of the family's 1533-position model. The record is from RNAcentral.
UACGGAGGGUGCAAGCGUUAUCCGGAUUCACUGGGUUUAAAGGGUGCGUAGGAGGGCAGGUAAGUCAGUGGUGAAAUCUCCGGGCUUAACCCGGAAACUGCCGUUGAUACUAUCUGUCUUGAAUAUCGUGGAGGUAAGCGGAAUAUGUCAUGUAGCGGUGAAAUGCUUAGAUAUGACAUAGAACACCCAUUGCGAAGGCAGCUUACUACACGAUCAUUGACGCUGAGGCACGAAAGCGUGGGGAGCAAACAGG